This 400-nucleotide ribosomal RNA is filed under the name uncultured bacterium. Its description in RNAcentral is "bacterial SSU rRNA". It matches the Rfam family "Bacterial small subunit ribosomal RNA", at positions 358 to 775 of the family's 1533-position model. The record is from RNAcentral.
GGAAUAUUGCGCAAUGGAGGAAACUCUGACGCAGUGACGCCGCGUAUAGGAAGAAGGUUUUCGGAUUGUAAACUAUUGUCGUGAGGGAAGAAAAUGACGGUACCUUAGGAAUAAGCCUCGGCUAACUACGUGCCAGCAGCCGCGGUAAUACGUAGGAGGCAAGCGUUAUCCGGAAUGACUGGGCGUAAAGGGUGCGUAGGUGGUUUGACAAGUUGGUAGCGUAACUCCGAGGCUUAACCUCGGCACUACUACCAAAACUGUUGGACUCGAGUGCAGGAGGGGCAAAUGGAAUUCCUAGUGUAGCGGUGGAAUGCGUAGAUAUUAGGAGGAACACCAGUGGCGAAGGCGAUUUGCUGGACUGUAACUGACACUGAGGCACGAAAGCGUGGGGAGCAAACAG